AUAUAUACAGGCAGUACAUAUUCUAAAAUUGGAACGAUACAGAGAAGAUUAGCAUGGCCCCUACACAAGGAUGACACGCAAAUUCGUGAAGCGUUCCAUCUUUUU
This 105-nucleotide small nuclear RNA is filed under the name Octopus vulgaris (common octopus). RNAcentral also lists the same sequence under 1 other name. The record is from RNAcentral. Lineage: Eukaryota; Metazoa; Mollusca; Cephalopoda; Octopoda; Octopodidae.